CGGGUGAGUAACGCGUGAGGAACCUGCCUCAAAGAGGGGGACAACAGUUGGAAACGACUGCUAAUACCGCAUAAGCCCACGGCUCGGCAUCGAGCAGAGGGAAAAGGAGUGAUCCGCUUUGAGAUGGCCUCGCGUCCGAUUAGCUGGUUGGUGAGGUAACGGCCCACCAAGGCGACGAUCGGUAGCCGGACUGAGAGGUUGAACGGCCACAUUGGGACUGAGACGCGGCCCAG
Molecule: ribosomal RNA, 233 nt
Filed under: uncultured bacterium
Lineage: Bacteria
Description: partial 16S ribosomal RNA
Rfam family: Bacterial small subunit ribosomal RNA
Source: RNAcentral